UCAUCUAGUACUGGAAACUUCCGAAAUUGUCAUGAAUAUCAAAAAUAUAAUAUGUCCACAAGGGGACUUCAGUGUACUGAAGAAACUGCUUCAAAUGAAUGAAUCCAACUUCAAGAAAAACAAUCUAAGCUACAUUGAUGAUGCUUUUCUACAUGCAAAGAAUAUUCUGAAAGACAUUUCAGACGAUCGUAAGAAAUGUCUGCAAAAGCUCGUUCAGUGUAAAGACUUUAUCCAGUGGACUAAACAAGAACUUAAAGACAUCAAUGAGCUGAAAGUGUUUGUUGACCUGGCAUCAAUCUCU
Pundamilia nyererei is the source of this 301-nucleotide long non-coding RNA. RefSeq lists it as uncharacterized. The transcript is spliced from 3 exons. NCBI's taxonomy places the organism in Eukaryota, Metazoa, Chordata, Actinopteri, Cichliformes, Cichlidae. The record is from RefSeq and is a predicted model, not a curated record.